UUAAACCUCUUCCAGAGUAUCAAUUGGAGGGCAAGUCUGGUGCCAGCAGCCGCGGUAAUUCCAGCUCCAAUAGCGUAUAUUAAAAUUGUUGCAGUUAAAAAGCUCGUAGUUGAAUUUCUGCUGCAUUACAUAUCUCUUGUUUGAGUUUGUUUUUGUGGCUUAUUUCGGUUUGAUUUUUUUAUCUUUCCGGAUGAUUACUUUGAGAAAAUUAGAGUGCUCAAAGCAGGCUUUUGCCUUGAAUAGUUUAGCAUGGAAUAAUAAAGUACGACUUUGGUUCUAUUUUGUUGGUUUUAGGUACCAAAGUAAUGGUUAAUAGGAACAGUUGGGGGCAUUCGUAU
RNAcentral lists this ribosomal RNA (338 nucleotides) under uncultured Theileria sp. Its description in RNAcentral is "SSU rRNA". It matches the Rfam family "Eukaryotic small subunit ribosomal RNA", at positions 525 to 897 of the family's 1831-position model. The record is from RNAcentral. Lineage: Eukaryota; Apicomplexa; Aconoidasida; Piroplasmida; Theileriidae.